RNAcentral lists this ribosomal RNA (376 nucleotides) under uncultured Bacteriovoracaceae bacterium. RNAcentral describes it as "bacterial SSU rRNA". It matches the Rfam family "Bacterial small subunit ribosomal RNA", at positions 523 to 898 of the family's 1533-position model. Lineage: Bacteria; Pseudomonadati; Bdellovibrionota; Bacteriovoracia; Bacteriovoracales; Bacteriovoracaceae. The record is from RNAcentral.
AUACGAAGGGUGCAAGCGUUGUUCGGAUUUAUUGGGCGUAAAGCGUACGUAGGCGGACGGUUAAGUCAGGUGUGAAAUCUCGGGGCUCAACCCCGAAAUUGCGCCUGAAACUGGCCAUCUAGAAUACUGAAGAGGGAGGGGGAAUUUCGCAUGUAGGGGUAAAAUCCGUAGAUAUGCGAAGGAACACCAGCGGCGAAGGCGCCUUCCUGGUCGGUUAUUGACGCUGAUGUACGAAAGCGUGGGGAGCAAACAGGAUUAGAUACCCUGGUAGUCCACGCCGUAAACGAUGAGCACUAGAUAUGGGAGGGUCGACCCUUUCCGUGUCGCAGCUAACGCAUUAAGUGCUCCGCCUGGGGAGUACGGUCGCAAGAUUAAA